Molecule: ribosomal RNA, 242 nt
Filed under: uncultured Bacteroidales bacterium
Lineage: Bacteria; Pseudomonadati; Bacteroidota; Bacteroidia; Bacteroidales
Description: partial 16S ribosomal RNA
Rfam family: Bacterial small subunit ribosomal RNA
Source: RNAcentral
CGCACAGUAAACGAUGAAUACUAGCUGUUUGCGAUAUACAGUAAGUGGCACAGCGAAAGCGUUAAGUAUUCCACCUGGGGAGUACGCCGGCAACGGUGAAACUCAAAGGAAUUGACGGGGGCCCGCACAAGCGGAGGAACAUGUGGUUUAAUUCGAUGAUACGCGAGGAACCUUACCCGGGCUUGAAUUGCAGACGAAUGGAUGUGAAAGCAUUCAGCCAGCAAUGGCGUCUGUGAAGGUGC